CCGGCCUCCAGGAAGGUUGCGGUUUCAGGGCCAGCCCUACCUUGGUUGAUCCUUGCCCCUAGACCCAGCAGAGGACGGUGCGCGUCCAUCCUAUGGGACACGGCCGUAACCCCUUCCCCAGCCCCCACUUUAGCACACCCUGCAGAGCAGAGGCCUGACCUGAGCUGGCUCUAAACAGCUCCCUGAGGCUGGAGGCCAGACAGCCACAAGCCAGGAGCAAGAUUCUAGAAUACAAAGCUAUUAUAAUAAGGAGUUUCUCUGCAAGGCCAAAAGCCUCAGACAUUAAUAGAGGCAGAAGAUGAGUUGCAGACCCUGAAGCCCCAGUCAUGGACCUCGCCUCCUCCACCGGGCUGGUAUGACCUCUGCCUGUAAUCUUUCAGUCCUCCUGCCCAGCCAAGCUACCAAGGUGGGGUGUCCGCCAGAACCACUGGGGCCAGGCAAUAUGAUGACAGCAACAGUCCAGGCUGCAGUAAUGUCUUUUGGAAAGGUCAGCCUGUGGCAGCUAUGCUCAUGGAAACUCAAGGAAGGUGUUUGCAUCCAUGCUUCUACCAGAAGACUAAAAGGAAGCCAUGUCCUCCCACCCAGCCCUCCAGAGUGAAGGUAUAGAAAUGCAGAGUAAAAGAUGGAGGGAACCAGAGGUGGGCCCCUUGCUCAGCUGCUGUGUCCUCUGGACACUUCCUUUCCAACAGGGACCCUGGAAGUUCCAGCUAGGAAGAGAGGUCAUUGUGAGCCCACGGCCAGCCUGGUGCCAUCUGGUAACUUCCAGCACCAACCCUGCAGGUGGCUUUGGGAAGCAUCGCUGUCCUGCACCCUGCUUUUCCCUGUCACUAAGGUUCAGCCCUGGGAGGUGGGCUGGGGAGGACAGUGCCUGAGAGCCCAGCACACACCUGCCUUCAUGGUCCCGAGCUCCAGCUGAGCAGUCUUCCUCUUUCCUGAGGAGCCGAUGACAUGCUGUGACCUACUCAGGCAGGGCCCCUGGUUGCUAGGGAAUCAGUUCACCACCUCUGGAAAGUGGCAAUAUCGCUGCUGUGAGUAGGCCCAAAGUGGGCCUUUCCCUGGCACCGCCUCUGAGCCUUAUCCCCGGGGUGAGAAAAACGAAGGUUGGGGGACGCCAAGGGCCCUCCUCGGUCCCUGCUGCCCAUCCUCAAGGACUGACCUGCCCUCCUGGAUCUGGCCUAAGCUGAGUUAUAAGCUCCCUGCCAAGACAACAUCCAUCGUGCCAUGUACUACUGUUGUCAACUUUAGGGGGAUGUGGAAAGGAAGGACGCACAGACCUUGGUCCAUUACAGUGGACCCCAGGGAGCUGUCUUUGUUGUCCAGCUUUAUGAUACAGCUUGGGGUUACACAGGCAUCGCCCACAUGAUGGUGCUAUCAGGGACUGGGGAUGUGAGGAGGUGGGGCCCAGGGCCCGCUUUCAAGCCCCACCCCUCCUUGAGACAAGGUCUUACUCCAGCCCAGGCUGGAGUGCAGUGCUAGGAUCAUGGCUCACUGCAGUCUUGGCCUCCUGCCUCAGCCUCAGCAUCCUGAGCAGCUGGGACCACAGGUACACACAACACCGCACCUGACUUCGCUUUCAGAGUCCAAAGCCCUCAUAGGGCCAUUGUGAGGCUAGGGCAUCCCCACCCCAUAUGUGGUUAACUCAUGCCUAUGAAUUACCAUUUUGUUUGUUGUUAUUGUUUGUUUUUGUAAAGCUAGGAUCUUGCUAUGCUGCCCAGGCUGGUC
This 1722-nucleotide long non-coding RNA is filed under the name Homo sapiens (human). RNAcentral's name for it is "HSALNT0386729". The record is from RNAcentral. Lineage: Eukaryota; Metazoa; Chordata; Mammalia; Primates; Hominidae.